ACGAACGCUGGCGGCAUGCCUCAUACAUGCAAGUCGAACGCCCCGCAAGGGGAGUGGCGGGGGGGUGAGUAACGCGUAGGAAUCUGCCUUGGAUUGUGGGAUAACCUGGGGAAACUCGAGCUAAUACCGCAUAUUGCCGAGAGGUGAAAGUUUUUCGAUCCAAGAGGAGCCUGCGUAUGAUUAGCUAGUUGGUAGGGUAAAGGCCUACCAAGGCAACGAUCAUUAGCUGGUCUGAGAAGAUGAUCAGCCACAAUGGAACUGAGGUACGGUCCAUACUUCUACGGAAGGCAGCAGUAGGGAAUUUUGCGCAAUGGGCGAAAGCCUGACGCAGCAAUGCCGCGUGUAGGAAGAAGCAUCUUGGUGUGUAAACUACUGUCGGCGGGGAAAAACAAAAUGAUUGUACCCGCAAAGGAAGCAUCGGCUAACUACGU
Molecule: ribosomal RNA, 431 nt
Filed under: uncultured bacterium
Lineage: Bacteria
Description: bacterial SSU rRNA
Rfam family: Bacterial small subunit ribosomal RNA
Source: RNAcentral